AUGCACGCUGGCGGCGUGCCUAAUACAUGCAAGUCGAGCGAACAGACGAGGAGCUUGCUCCUCUGACGUUAGCGGCGGACGGGUUAGUAACACGUGGAUAACCUACCUAUAAGACUGGGAUAACUUCGGGAAACCGGAGCUAAUACCGGAUAAUAUAUUGAACCGCAUGGUUCAAUAGUGAAAGACGGUUUUGCUGUCACUUAUAGAUGGAUCCGCGCCGCAUUAGCUAGUUGGUAAGGUAACGGCUUACCAAGGCAACGAUGCGUAGCCGACCUGAGAGGGUGAUCGGCCACACUGGAACUGAGACACGGUCCAGACUCCGACGGGAGGCAGCAGUAGGGAAUCUUCCGCAAUGGGCGAAAGCCUGACGGAGCAACGCCGCGUGAGUGAUGAAGGUCUUCGGAUCGUAAAACUCUGUUAUUAGGGAAGAACAAAUGUGUAAGUAACUAUGCACGUCUUGACGGUACCUAAUCAGAAAGCCACGGCUAACUACGUG
Molecule: ribosomal RNA, 496 nt
Filed under: uncultured bacterium
Lineage: Bacteria
Description: partial 16S ribosomal RNA
Rfam family: Bacterial small subunit ribosomal RNA
Source: RNAcentral